GCCACCCGUCUCACCGGCACGAAGAGGACACAGCCCACCAGGGUCCCCGUCAGCGCAGACUUGACCACCUCGGCGUAGCAGCGGUUGCCCUCGCGCGAGCCCUUGAUGAGCGCGGUGAUGUAGAAGGGACACUCCAUGGAGGAGGGACCCAGGAGACCCCGACACCCAUCACUGCAGUUCUGAGCUCACCCAGCCCUCACAUGGGGGGUCCCCAAUUUGGAACUCACCAUAAGGAGCCCCCAUGACAGUGAUGAACAUCACGGCAGCCACGAGGACAUAGAGGAGCGAGAGCCACCAGCCAAAGAGCAGCAGUUUUUACAGGAAAAACCCCUAAAAUCACGAGCCAACAAGUGACCUAAGUGACGCCUGAGGAUGGGAGUGCAGUCCCGUACCUGCUUGGACCCUUUUGCUUCUCACCCUAACCUGAAAAGAUGUUGAUUAAAGAGACACCCCGGGGUGUUAGACAAACAAGCUGCAAUCUGCGACUCUCCGUGAGGAUGGAAUCCCCAGCUCUGCCUGCAGACCAGGACAAAGCUGCAUCCUCCUCCUCCUCCUCCGUGCCAUGCCUGGGACCCGUCGGCUUCUCCCCACCUGAGCUGGUUCUUCUCAAUAAAGGCAUUAAAAAGGACAAAGAUCUCCUGCCCAUUUAUUUCACGAGGCACCCCCGGGCUGCCGGUGCC
This is a long non-coding RNA of Passer montanus (Eurasian tree sparrow), 680 nucleotides long. RefSeq lists it as uncharacterized. The transcript is spliced from 3 exons. The record is from RefSeq and is a predicted model, not a curated record. NCBI's taxonomy places the organism in Eukaryota, Metazoa, Chordata, Aves, Passeriformes, Passeridae.